GACGAACGCUGGCGGCGUGCUUAACACAUGCAAGUCGAACGUGAUUUUUGUGGAAAUUCUUUCGGGAAUGGAAAUGAAAUGAAAGUGGCGAACGGGUGAGUCACACGUGAGCAACCUACCUUACACAGGGGGAUAGCCGUUGGAAACGACGAUUAAUACCGCAUGAGACCACAGAAUCGCAUGUUAUAGGGGUCAAAGAUUUAUCGGUGUAAGAAGGGCUCGCGUCUGAUUAGCUAGUUGGAAGGGUAAAGGCCUACCAAGGCGACGAUCAGUAGCCGGUCUGAGAGGAUGAACGGCCACAUUGGAACUGAGGCACGGUCCAAACUCCUACGGGAGGCAGCAGUAGGGAAUAUUGCGCAAUGGGGGGAACCCUGAUGCAGCGACGCCGCGUGAGCGAAGAAGGUUUUCGAAUCGUAAAGCUCUGUCCUAUGAGAAGAUAAUGACGGUAUCAUAGGAGGAAGCCCCGGCUAAAUACGUG
Molecule: ribosomal RNA, 478 nt
Filed under: uncultured bacterium
Lineage: Bacteria
Description: partial 16S ribosomal RNA
Rfam family: Bacterial small subunit ribosomal RNA
Source: RNAcentral